GACGAACGCUGGCGGCGUGCUUAACACAUGCAAGUCGUACGGUAAGGCCCUUUCGGGGGUACACGAGUGGCGAACGGGGGAGUAACACGUGAGUAACCUGCCCACAACUUUGGGAUAACGCUAGGAAACUGGGGCCAAUUCUCGCAUUGUGCUCCUGCUGCAUGGUGGGGGUUGUUAAGCUCCGGCGCUUUUGGAUGGACUGGCGGCCUAUCAGCUUGUUGGUGGGGUAGUGGCCUACCAAGGCGGCGACGGGUAGCCGGCCUGAGAGGGUGACCGGCCACAUUGGGACCGAGGUGCGGCACAGAUGCCUACUGGAGGCAGCAGGGGGGAAGCCUGAUCCAGGGGCGCCAGCCGGGUGCAGAAACGCCGCGUGCGGGAUGACGGCCUUCGGGUUGUAAACCGCUUUCAGCAGGGACGAAGCUUUUUGUGACGGUACCUGCAGAAGAAGCACCGGCUAACUACGUG
This 465-nucleotide ribosomal RNA is filed under the name uncultured bacterium. RNAcentral describes it as "partial 16S ribosomal RNA". It matches the Rfam family "Bacterial small subunit ribosomal RNA", at positions 28 to 507 of the family's 1533-position model. The record is from RNAcentral.